GAUGAAGAACGUAGCGAAAUGCGAUAACUAAUGUGAAUUGCAGAAUUCAGUGAAUCAUCGAGUCUUUGAACGCACAUUGCGCCCAUUAGCAUUCUAGUGGGCAUGCCUGUUCGAGCGUCAUUUCAACCCUUAAGCCCUGUUGCUUAGCGUUGGGAGCCUACAGUACUGUAGCUCCCCAAAGUUAGUGGCGGAGUCGGUUUCACACUCUAGACGUAGUAAUUUUUUCUCGUCUGUAGUUGAGCCGGUCCCCUGCCGUAAAACACCCAAUUUAUCAAGGUUGACCUCGGAUCAGGUAGGAAUACCCGCUGAACUUAAGCAUAUCAAUAAGCGGAGGA
RNAcentral lists this unclassified non-coding RNA (335 nucleotides) under soil metagenome. RNAcentral's name for it is "partial contains 5.8S ribosomal RNA, internal transcribed spacer 2, and large subunit ribosomal RNA". The stretch from base 1 to 120 matches the Rfam family "5.8S ribosomal RNA", at positions 35 to 154 of the family's 154-position model. The record is from RNAcentral.